UACGUAGGGUGCAAGCGUUGUCCGGAAUUAUUGGGCGUAAAGAGCUCGUAGGCGGUUCGUCGCGUCGGCUGUGAAAUCCCGAGGCUCAACCUCGGGUCUGCAGUCGAUACGGGCGGACUGGAGUUCGGCAGGGGAGACUGGAAUUCCUGGUGUAGCGGUGAAAUGCGCAGAUAUCAGGAGGUACACCGGUGGCGAAGGCGGGUCUCUGGGCCGAUACUGACGCUGAGGAGCGAAAGCGUGGGGAGCGAACAGG
This 253-nucleotide ribosomal RNA is filed under the name uncultured bacterium. RNAcentral's name for it is "partial 16S ribosomal RNA". It matches the Rfam family "Bacterial small subunit ribosomal RNA", at positions 524 to 776 of the family's 1533-position model. The record is from RNAcentral.